AAGUGUCACAGCUCUUUUAGAAUUUGUCCAGCAGGUUUUCUGACUUAUGCUGGAAAAACCCUA
Molecule: small nuclear RNA, 63 nt
Organism: Castor canadensis (American beaver)
Lineage: Eukaryota; Metazoa; Chordata; Mammalia; Rodentia; Castoridae
Gene: U7
Rfam family: U7 small nuclear RNA
About the family: Animal histone pre-mRNAs are spliced by a different mechanism than nuclear pre-mRNAs and self-splicing introns.
Source: Ensembl